GACGAACGCUGGCGGCGUGCUUAACACAUGCAAGUCGAACGGAAAGGCCCUGCUUUUGUUGGGUGCUCGAGUUGCGAACGGGUGAGUAACACGUGUGUAACCUGCCCUUUACUUUGGGAUAACUUCUGGAAACUUGGGCUAAUACCUGAUAUUAGCUCCUGCUGCAUGGUGUGGUUUGUAAAGUUUCGGCGGUUGGGGAUGGACUCGCGGCUUAUCAGCUUGUUUGUGGGGUAGUGGCUUACCAAGGCUUUGACGGGUAGCCGGCCUGAGAGGGUGACCGGCGACAUUGGGACUGAGAUAAGGCGAAGAAUAAUACGGGAGGCAGCAGUGGGGAAUAUUGCACAAUGGGAGGAAGCCUGAUGCAGAAACGCCGGGUGCGGGAUGACGGCCUUCGGGUUGUAAAGAGCAUUCGAAUGUGACGAAGCGUGAGUGACGGUAAUGGGUAAAGAAGCACCGGCUAACUACGUG
This 468-nucleotide ribosomal RNA is filed under the name uncultured bacterium. Its description in RNAcentral is "partial 16S ribosomal RNA". It matches the Rfam family "Bacterial small subunit ribosomal RNA", at positions 28 to 507 of the family's 1533-position model. The record is from RNAcentral.